GACAACAGAAGCCACAGAAAUCCUCCUCAUCAAAAACAUGACUUUGAUCUCCGUCCUCAUCUGGACUCUCCUCUGCUGCUGCUUCACAGAGUCCAGAGGCCAAGUCACAGUGACUCAGCCUGCAGCAGUGAGAUCUGAACUGGGACGAUCUGCAACCAUCAGCUGUAAGACCAGUCAGGAUGAUGAUGGAGACUGUGGCAGUUCGGGUUCCAGUCCUUGUUUAGCCUGGUACCAACAGAGAGAUGGAGAAGCUCCUAAACUUCUCAUUUAUUAUGCUGCCACUCGAGAAUCAGGGAUUCCAGAUCAUUUUUCAGGCAGCGGAUCAAACUCUGACUUCACUCUGACCAUCAGCGGAGUUCAGGCUGAAGAUGCAGCAGUUUAUUACUGUCAGAGUCGUCAUUAUAUCAACAGUCAGGAUGUGUUCACACAGUGA
This is a non-coding RNA of Scomber scombrus (Atlantic mackerel), 433 nucleotides long. Lineage: Eukaryota; Metazoa; Chordata; Actinopteri; Scombriformes; Scombridae. The record is from the annotation of a RefSeq genome assembly.